GAGACAGGUGCUGCAUGGCUGUCGUCAGCUCGUGUUGUGAAAUGUUGGGUUAAGUCCCGCAACGAGCGCAACCCUUAUCCUUUGUUGCCAGCGAUUCGGUCGGGAACUCAAAGGAGACUGCCGGUGAUAAACCGGAGGAAGGUGGGGAUGACGUCAAGUCAUCAUGGCCCUUACGAGUAGGGCUACACACGUGCUACAAUGGCGCAUACAAAGAGAAGCGACCUCGCGAGAGCAAGCGGACCUCACAAAGUGCGUCGUAGUCCGGAUCGGAGUCUGCAACUCGACUCCGUGAAGUCGGAAUCGCUAGUAAUCGUGGAUCAGAAUGCCACGGUGAAUACGUUCCCGGGCCUUGUACACACCGCCCGUCACACCAUGGGAGUGGGUUGCAAAAGAAGUAGGUAGCUU
Molecule: ribosomal RNA, 405 nt
Filed under: Pantoea sp. LIPOA/UEL_47
Lineage: Bacteria; Pseudomonadati; Pseudomonadota; Gammaproteobacteria; Enterobacterales; Erwiniaceae
Also listed under: 1 other name
Description: bacterial SSU rRNA
Rfam family: Bacterial small subunit ribosomal RNA
Source: RNAcentral